UAGGGAAUCUUCGGCAAUGGGGGGAACCCUGACCGAGCAACGCCGCGUGAGUGAAGAAGGUUUUCGGAUCGUAAAGCUCUGUUGUUAAGGAAGAACGAGUGUGAGAAUGGAAAGUUCAUACUGUGACGGUACUUAACCAGAAAGGGACGGCUAACUACGUGCCAGCAGCCGCGGUAAUACGUAGGUCCCGAGCGUUGUCCGGAUUUAUUGGGCGUAAAGCGAGCGCAGGCGGUUAGAUAAGUCUGAAGUUAAAGGCAGUGGCUCAACCAUUGUACGCUUUGGAAACUGUUUAAAUUGAGUGCAGAAGGGGGGAGUGGAAUUCCAUGUGUAGCGGUGAAAUGCGUAGGUAUAUGGAGGAACACCGGUGGCGAAAGCGGCUCUCUGGUCUGUAACUGACGCUGAGGAUCGAAAGCGUGGGGAGCGAACAGG
This 429-nucleotide ribosomal RNA is filed under the name Bacteroidota bacterium. RNAcentral describes it as "Bacteroidetes bacterium partial 16S ribosomal RNA". It matches the Rfam family "Bacterial small subunit ribosomal RNA", at positions 355 to 776 of the family's 1533-position model. Lineage: Bacteria; Pseudomonadati; Bacteroidota. The record is from RNAcentral.